This 72-nucleotide transfer RNA is filed under the name Phacus inflexus. RNAcentral describes it as "tRNA-Gly". It matches the Rfam family "tRNA". Rfam says of the family: Transfer RNA (tRNA) molecules are approximately 80 nucleotides in length. Their secondary structure includes four short double-helical elements and three loops (D, anti-codon, and T loops). Further hydrogen bonds mediate the characteristic L-shaped molecular structure. tRNAs have two regions of fundamental functional importance: the anti-codon, which is responsible for specific mRNA codon recognition, and the 3' end, to which the tRNAs corresponding amino acid is attached (by aminoacyl-tRNA synthetases). tRNAs cope with the degeneracy of the genetic code in two manners: having more than one tRNA (with a specific anti-codon) for a particular amino acid; and 'wobble' base-pairing, i.e. permitting non-standard base-pairing at the 3rd anti-codon position. Lineage: Eukaryota; Euglenozoa; Euglenophyceae; Euglenales; Phacaceae. The record is from RNAcentral.
GCAGAUGUAACUCAGCGGUAGAGUGCAACCUUGCCAAGGUUGAUGCCAUGGGUUCGAAUCCCAUUAUCUGCU